AACGGUGCGCCGGGCGACUCCCGAAAGGGUAAAGAUUAGGCCUCCAUCAAUGGGGUCGCGGUCGGUCAAUUGGGUGGCUCACCCACCAUUUCUGGUGAAGGGCCGGCGAGGGUUGGCUGGUGAGGCGCCAUUCGAGAAGGGCUACAAUUGGUACGUGCAAGAAAUAGGCCAAUUCGGGGCUUUUUGCUCAAUUUCAUGCGAACUCAAAUUCUCAUCGGUACGAGUCAAGGGAACAGCCCCCCGUCCUUUGAUUUCCAUAUAAAGAACACGACGAGCAUAGAAAAUGGGAUCAGCCCCCAUUGUGUAUUGGUACUUAUUGGAUAUAGAAUAGAUCUGCUUCUCUUUGUUCCUACGAACCGAAUUGUUCGAUUUUUACUUCUAUAUGAAAAUACGGAAUUGUC
Syzygium oleosum is the source of this 401-nucleotide long non-coding RNA. RefSeq lists it as uncharacterized. The transcript is spliced from 2 exons. The record is from RefSeq and is a predicted model, not a curated record. Lineage: Eukaryota; Viridiplantae; Streptophyta; Magnoliopsida; Myrtales; Myrtaceae.